This 777-nucleotide ribosomal RNA is filed under the name bacterium OM241. RNAcentral describes it as "bacterial SSU rRNA". It matches the Rfam family "Bacterial small subunit ribosomal RNA", at positions 78 to 853 of the family's 1533-position model. The record is from RNAcentral.
CUUCGGACUGACUAAAGCGGCGGACGGGUGAGUAACGCGUAGGAAUCUACCCAGUAGUGGGGGACAACUUAGGGAAACUUAAGCUAAUACCGCAUACGCCCUGAGGGGGAAAGCGGGGGAUCUUCGGACCUCGCGCUAUUGGAAGAGCCUGCGUUAGAUUAGCUAGUUGGUGGGGUAAAGGCUCACCAAGGCGACGAUCUAUAGCUGGUCUGAGAGGAUGAUCAGCCACACUGGGACUGAGACACGGCCCAGACUCCUACGGGAGGCAGCAGUGGGGAAUAUUGCGCAAUGGGCGAAAGCCUGACGCAGCCAUGCCGCGUGUGUGAAGAAGGCCUUCGGGUUGUAAAGCACUUUCAAUUGGGAGGAAGGGUUUAAGCGUUAAUAGCGUUGAAUCUUGACGUUACCUUUAGAAGAAGCACCGGCUAACUCCGUGCCAGCAGCCGCGGUAAUACGGAGGGUGCGAGCGUUAAUCGGAAUUACUGGGCGUAAAGCGCGCGUAGGCGGUUUGUUAAGUCGGAUGUGAAAUCCCCGGGCUCAACCUGGGAACUGCACCCGAUACUGGCCGACUUGAGUGCGAGAGAGGGAGGUAGAAUUCCAUGUGUAGCGGUGAAAUGCGUAGAUUAUGGAGGAAUACCGGUGGCGAAGGCGGCCUCCUGGCUCGACACUGACGCUGAGGUGCGAAAGCGUGGGUAGCAAACAGGAUUAGAUACCCUGGUAGUCCACGCCGUAACGAUGUCUACUAGCCGUUGGGGAACUUGAUUCUUUAGUGGCGCAGCU